Magnolia sinica is the source of this 99-nucleotide small nucleolar RNA. RefSeq annotates it as small nucleolar RNA snoR27. The record is from RefSeq and is a predicted model, not a curated record. The transcript has a single exon. NCBI's taxonomy places the organism in Eukaryota, Viridiplantae, Streptophyta, Magnoliopsida, Magnoliales, Magnoliaceae.
UUUGGAUCGAUGAUGUUAAUGUUAAAACUGCGUUAUCUUUCUGAAUGUACCUGAAAAGGGGCUUGAAAGAAGGCUAUUGAUAAUAUGCUGAGAUCCAAA